Orcinus orca (killer whale) is the source of this 5173-nucleotide long non-coding RNA. RefSeq lists it as uncharacterized. Lineage: Eukaryota; Metazoa; Chordata; Mammalia; Artiodactyla; Delphinidae. The transcript is spliced from 3 exons. The record is from RefSeq and is a predicted model, not a curated record.
GGGAUCUGGGGAAAGGGGGUCGCGACCUCCCCCCAUCGAACUCCCCUCCACCCCAACGAACCGCGCUUUAGAAGCCUUGAAAAAGGUACCCGAAUUCAAGUAUGGAAAAGGCAAGAUUCGCUUUACAGCCGAUCCCUAUAUUCCUGGGGCUUUGCUUCCGCUUGGGUCAUGACUAUCUCAAGAGAUUCUGUAACAAACCAGCAGGCGAUGGAGUCUAGUUCUGUCAUUAACUCAUUUUACAGACGAAGAAACUGAUACUUCCACUAUCUAGGGCUGUCUUUAAAAUGUCAGGGGAAGAAAAAAAGUCAGACACCCAGACACCCUUAGGAUGUGAACUUGUUAAGAGAAUUUAUUCCCCCAUCUCUACCUCCUCAUCGUCUGUGGAAAAGGGUUCACUACACCCAGCUGAGCCACCAAAUAAAACCAGCAUAUGGGGCAAUUAGGAAGCCGGCUCCUGCUUUCAAGGCCAAGAAGAAAGAGACCAAGUUCAGGGCCCCAGCUUCCCUGCCUGCUUCAGUAAUGAUCACAAAUCCUAAUAAGCAUCCGCUUUGCCUCUCAGUAGUGCCCCUGGUCUGUCCUCCAUAAACACCAACCUGUGGUUUCACCUUUCAAAAAAAUCAUUUGUUCCACACAACAACAUCUUACCCUCUUUUGCUGCAAAUUUGCUGAGGGAGAGGAAGGAGGGAUGUGCGGAUAAACCUUUAUCACAUAGGUUUGUGUGGGGCAAAGAUAUUCUUUCUUCUUAGUCAUAUAUUUGCUUUUUUUUUUUUUUUUUUUGGCCGCGCUGCUCAGGUUGCGGGAUCUUGUUUCCCAGACCAAGGAUCGAACCCGUGCCCCCUGCAUUGGUAGCGUGGAGUCUUAGCCACUGUGCCACCAGGGAAGUCCCCCCAUUGGAAGCGCAGAGUCCUAACCACUGGGCAGCCAGGGAAUCCCUGCAUAUAUUUGUUUUUACAUGACCCAGAAAGACUCUGAUCUUCCCUAACUCUCAAAUAGUGGUGUGAGUAGAACUUACCUGAAAAUUUUUGCAAGACAUGGAGAUCCCAUAAUGAUUGAUCAACCUCCCUACUGAUCACAUGCAGAAAUCCCCAUCCUGUUUUAUCCCCAUGGACUUGGACCUGAUGGGACUUCACGUUUGACAAGGAUUGAUUGGGGUCAUGCUGUCAGCUACUUGCAUAUUUGUAUUUAAAUGAAGUUUCAAUCACUUGUACUUCUCAUGAAGUUUUUUUUUUUUUUUUUGUGGUACGCGCGCCUCUCACUGUUGUGGCCUCUCCCGUUGCGGAGCACAGGCUCCGGAUGCGCAGGCUCAGCGGCCAUGGCUCACGGGCCCAGCCGCUCCGCGGCAUGUGGGAUCUUCCCGGACCGGGGCACGAACCCGUGUCCCCUGCAUCGGCAGGCAGACUCUCAACCACUGCGCCACCAGGGAAGCCCCUCAUGAAGUUUUAGAGUUAGAAGGGAUUUAAGAGAUAAUGUAAUCAAAUCAAUUCAUUAGAUGCCAUCGUUAUUUGAAAUGGUUCUACUCCCCGACCUCAAUAUCUGAAAUUCCUCUCUCUAACCCAAUGUACGACUACUGAGCCCUCAUGCCACAACUACUGAAACCUCCACGCCUAGAGUCCGUGCUCCACAAGAGAAGCUGCCGCAAUGAGAAGCCCGCGCACAGCAAUGAAGAGUAGCCCCCGCUCGCCGCAACUAGAGAAAGCCCGCACACAGCAAUGAAGACACAACACAGCCAAAAAUAAAUUAAUUUUUUUUUAAAAAGGAAAUCUUUUCUCUAUCUGCUUUCACUCAACCUACUCUCCUUAUCUGUUUCCUGAUACAACCAGAGCUCUGCGAAAAGUAAACUAUACUCAAAUCUCUCUGUUCCCCCUCCUCCCACCUGCCCCCUUGUCCAACUUAUCCCCUCAACCCCUGACCAUUUGCUUCCACCCUCAUGAUGUUAUUCAUUUAUGUAUUCAUUCAUUCAACAGACAUGUAUUGAGAGCCCACUCUGUGCCAGUCGUUGUUGAAACUCCCGUCUCAGAGAGGUUACCAGUUACCUCCUAAUCCAGUGAUUCUCAAAUUUUGCUGCAUGUUGGAAUCAUCUGGGAUCUUUUUAAAAUACUGAUGUCUGGGUUUCACUCCACGAUAUUCUGAGUUCACUGGUCUGGGUGUGACCUGGGCAUCAGGAUUUUUUAAUGCUUCUGGGUGAUUCUAAUGUGUAGCAAAGUUUGGGAACCACUUCCCUAAUCCCCUAAUGCAAGUUUUCUCAACCUCAGCACUACUGACCUUUUGGGCAGAGAUCAUUCUUUGCUGGUGGUGGGGUUUUCCUAUGCACUAUAGCUGAUUUAGCAGCGUCCCUGGCCUCUACGUACUAGAUGCCAAUUGUAUCCUCUGCCCCCCGUCGUGACAACCAAAAAUGUCUCCAGAGAUUGCCAAAUGUCCCCUGAGGGGCAAAAACAACUCUGGUUGAAGGGCCACUGCCCUAAAGUCUUCAAUUAUCAUACUCCUUGACAUGUGGAUAGCAUCGUGAAACCCCUCCUUCAGGAGACUAUCCUUAAUUUGGCUUUCACCACAGUGCACUCUCUGAUUCAUUAUCCAAGGAUAUAGUGAUAUUUAAAGCAUGUUGUAGGGUGGAUAUAGGAGUUGCUCACGUGUCUUUUGCUCACCUCUUAUUGGCUACGUAUCUACAAGGCAGAUGAGUAAUGUAACCUUUAUGGUGGGCAGCCACAUGUCUAGCUAAGUCUGGGACUCUGGUCCUAUAGUUUGUUUGUUUGUUUUUUGGCCGCACCGCGCAGCUUGCGGGAUCUUAGUUCCCGGACCAGGGAUUGAACCCGGCCAUGGCAGUGAAAGCACUAAUCAGUAGGCAACUCUCCCAAUUCUGUUCCUAUAGUACUUUCAGGUCCUGUCUUUUUCCCAUUUUUCCCCCUUCCCUGCUGGAAGUACAGAUGUGAUAGUGUUGAGUCAUAUUGGACCAUAUGAACAAGGUCAUGACCCUAGGGUUCAUAGAGCAAAAGGGUAGAAGAAUCCUAAGUCUCUGACCUCCCACAGACACCACUCCAGCCCUAGACUCCUCACUCCCAAAUUCGUUUUUUGGUUUUUUUUUUAAUAUUUAUUUAUUUAUUUGGUUGCUCCAGGUCUUAGUUGUGGCUCGCCGGCUCCUUAGUUGCGGCAUGCAUGUGGGAUCUAGUUCCCUGACCAGGGAUCGAACCCGGGCCCUGUGCAUUGGGAGGGUAGAGUCUUAUCCACUGCGCCACCAGGGAGGUCCCACUCCUGAAUUAUUACGUGAGAAAGAAAUACACUUCUGUCUGGUUUAAGCUACCAUAUUUGGGUGUUGCUGUUAUAUCAGUGGAACCCACGUCCUAAUGAAUACAGAUCCAAUCAAGUUCAACUAUCACUUCUGGCAACUCUCAGAUCUCUAUCUCCAGCCCCUGCAACUCUCAAACUCAACUCCCCUAUUUCGGUUACCUAUUGGAAGCUCCAGCUGGAUAACCAAGUAGGAUCCUAAGCUCAGGGUAUUUAAAACCAAAAGCAUCCUUCUUUUGGUUUCCCCAAACUAACACUGCCAUCUUCCCUAAUGUUGCUUAAAAGGCAUCCUGUUCUCCAGGUCAUCCAGGCUCCAGAUCUGCGACGCUUGCCUUCCUUAUGAGCCUUCUAUCCAAUUAACAGCUCCCCAACAACCUUAGCUCCCCCUGCACGUCUACAUGUCCCCUAUGCUUCCACCAGACCAAACCACUUGCUAGCCCCCCCUCCUUCAUACGCCGUCUACUUCCAGAACUAUUGCAGAUUCUAUACCUAACCUCUACUGAAAGUCCCUACCCAGCAUGCCCUUCGCCUCAAAGGCAUGCCUGAGUCAUCCCACAGAAGUCCAUCCCAAAGCCUUGCACGUGGUAGGCAUGAAAAUGUUUUUCAAGUUGAAGAGAUCAAGUGGUUUGCCCAAAGCCACAUGGCUAGAUGUUCUGCUGUAUGAUGGAGACUGCGCAUUCAAAUGAUAAACUAGAUUUCCUGCUUAGUUUUUAAAUUGGGCUGACAAUGUCAUGAGGACAUGGACUUCUUAGGAAAAGGUAGUGAUUUGAGAAAUUCUAAACUAUAAUUUAAAUAAGUGUUCUGCUAUUCUGAGCUUUUGGCAUACCAUGUAGUAUAAUUAUAUCAUGUGUCUGUGUAAUACUAGAUAAAAUAUAAGCAUUUUAUAUAGUUUCAUGGAUGAAAUGUGAAUCUUCAUCCAAACAUGCUCUUGCCUGCCUGAUUCUUUAUAGACCAAGAAGCCUUUAGAAUACUGAGAUAUUUUUCAAAUUGAGCUUGCUCAAAUCAGAUUAAAAAUCACUGAGGGAUCCUCUCAGCAAAUUUUAAACAAAUCAGAGGGUGCUGUGGUCAAUAUUUGAGCCAUGUGACCUGCUCUUACAAUGAAUGUCUAUAGCCAAACUUUUUAUGUGCCUAUGAUUUUUUAAAGAUUUUUUUUUUGAGCCGUAUGUAAAAGAGAAUCAUUAUGCUUUGAGUACCUACAUAGGCACAUGGCUAGAUACUUUAAUCAUCAUCAUCACAACCGCAGGAGGUAGGUAGGAACUGCAAGAAACAGGGAAGUGGGGAGACAGGCAGCAAGGCAAUUUGGCCAGGUCUCAAAUGAUGGGGCCUCUAAUUUCUGCUGCUUUUCAGAAGAAAAUUUGAGCAGGGGUGGUUUAAGCCUUGAACUAUACCCUUCAAUUCUUUCCAAGAACCAUAUUGCCCCCAUUUGCCUCACCUAGUCAUUCACAGCUACCUGUAAAUUUCAACUGGGUUUGUGAUCAAAAAGCCGUCUGAUGCUCAAGUUAUUAUCAUCCCAGCUCAAAGGAGACCUUUCUUCCUCCACGGCACAUGGGAACAUGAUCUUUGGGCAUCAUUCAGCUUUGGGUAUAAAUAUAAAAGACAGACAUUAAUUGCACACACUCUUGUAUGUUAAAAGUUGUAUAUAUAAUGAUAUAUAUUAUUAAUGUAUUUGUUUAAUAUAGUUUUGAAUUUUUGACUUAUUUUAAAAAGCUAUUCAUUUAAUUUUCUACAUUUUACCUUUCCCUUUAUUAGCUUUAACCUGGUUUAUGUAAAACAGAAAAAUUUCACGUUCAAUUAUGUUCUUUUAUGCCUACACUAGUGUUUUUUGUCUUUUUGUCAGUUCUGUAAUAAUACUCUUUAGAUUGGUUUGCAUCUUUUAUUAUUCACACAGUUUCAU